UGAGACACGGUCCAGACUCCUACGGGAGGCAGCAGUGGGGAAUAUUGCACAAUGGGCGCAAGCCUGAUGCAGCCAUGCCGCGUGUGUGAAGAAGGCCUUCGGGUUGUAAAGCACUUUCAGUAGGGAGGAAGGUGGUAGUGUUAAUAGCGCUAUCAUUUGACGUUACCUACAGAAGAAGCACCGGCUAACUCCGUGCCAGCAGCCGCGGUAAUACGGAGGGUGCGAGCGUUAAUCGGAAUUACUGGGCGUAAAGCGCAUGCAGGUGGUUUGUUAAGUCAGAUGUGAAAGCCCCGGGCUCAACCUGGGAAUUGCAUUUGAAACUGGCAAACUAGAGUACUGUAGAGGGGGGUAGAAUUUCAGGUGUAGCGGUGAAAUGCGUAGAGAUCUGAAGGAAUACCGGUGGCGAAGGCGGCCCCCUGGACAGAUACUGACACUCAGAUGCGAAAGCGUGGGGAGCAAACAGGAUUAGAUACCCUGGUAGUCCACGCCGUAAACGAUGUCUACUUGGAGGUUGUGGCCUUGAGCCGUGGCUUUCGGAGCUAACGCGUUAAGUAGACCGCCUGGGGAGUACGGUCGCAAGAUUAAAACUCAAAUGAAUUGACGGGGGCCCGCACAAGCGGUGGAGCAUGUGGUUUAAUUCGAUGCAACGCGAAGAACCUUACCUACUCUUGAC
Molecule: ribosomal RNA, 673 nt
Filed under: Vibrio parahaemolyticus
Lineage: Bacteria; Pseudomonadati; Pseudomonadota; Gammaproteobacteria; Vibrionales; Vibrionaceae
Description: bacterial SSU rRNA
Rfam family: Bacterial small subunit ribosomal RNA
Source: RNAcentral